Long non-coding RNA from Dermacentor silvarum, 257 nucleotides. RefSeq lists it as uncharacterized. The record is from RefSeq and is a predicted model, not a curated record. The transcript has 3 exons. NCBI's taxonomy places the organism in Eukaryota, Metazoa, Arthropoda, Arachnida, Ixodida, Ixodidae.
AGCUCCACACGGCCACUUGAGAGAGAGGAGCGUCGCCACCAUCGAGGGCUAUGGAGAAGCCGAAACGAUGAGGUUCUUCAUCAUCGUCCUCAUCGUUGUCGCCUCAAUGAUCCUGUUGCUUUUGGGGCUCAUAUUGUUCGGAGUCAUGGAAGUCACCUACUAUGAAUACCCAUCCAAGCCGACGACGUCCAAAUCUCACUGACGGCGGCUGGCAAAGGGCAUCGAUGAACCCUGUUUGUUAUUAAAGUAUAUUGCGC